UGGCACUGAUGAGCAAAUCAAGGCCGAGAGCUCAAGGGACAGGGAUCAAGUCACUGCAAUGGUUGGUCAGUGGCUAAAGGGGACUUAGACCCCAGGUCUCCUGACUCCCUUGAUGCUGCUGUUUCUUGUCCUUCUAAACCUCUUCUGAAGACUUGGGAUUUUCAGUUGUUUUUAAAGAAGGCAUUGGGGGGAGGAAAAAAAAAAAAGGAGGCAAGGUCAUAAACCCAAAUGUGGAAAACAGAUACAAGACGCUGCUGUUCCUUCCCUCAUUAUGUCACUGCAAGGAAGACUAGAAAAUGUCACCUAAGAGAAAAACUUGGCUUUCAUUUCUUGCUCCUUAACAGCCACGGGGCCUCUGAACAUCAGGUGCUUCUUCCCAAACGUCAUCAGCUCAUCCAUCUUUCUAGAAAGGAGACAAAUACAAAGCUUUGAAGACCAAAACUCAACAUAUAAUGUCAUAUUAUUUAUACUUCUGACAGUUCCAAUUUUUGUCUUAUUCUUUCUUAUCAC
RNAcentral lists this long non-coding RNA (510 nucleotides) under Sus scrofa (pig). RNAcentral describes it as "lncRNA (ENSSSCG00070014321.1)". The record is from RNAcentral. Lineage: Eukaryota; Metazoa; Chordata; Mammalia; Artiodactyla; Suidae.